GUACACUAAAUUGAAAGUAUGUUGUGUUGUCUAUUUUCAUCUUAACAGAAUUGUUAUGACAUUUGUGGAAACAUAUCUAAGAAUCAUCAACGGAAUUUGAAGAAUGCUGUGUGUUAUCCUGCCGAUAAUAUAGAAAAUGGACAAGCAUCAAAACAGAAAAGGGGCACAAAGGAAAACACUGUCUCCUUCUCAGCGGUUCAGUCAAAGGCUUUAUCAGAACUUCGUAAGCAGACUGCAGAUAUAUCCGUUGAUGGUGUGAUUUCGCAAAUAGAAUCGGCACAUAAGGACUGGUUUGGUCAAAAAAAGUUGCGAAGUUAUACGACCCGUUGUAUAGAGCUGUGUUGGUUAAUGCACGUACAAACUCCACCUGUUGUUAUUGAUACGUGCGCCAAGCCAGGGUCCAACUUUGAUACUAGAAGAUAUAAACAAUAUACAAAAGCUGGAAAGAAAAUAGAUUUUGUUGUUUGGCCUGUAUUGUUGUUGGACGAAGGGGGAGUUAUUUUGUGUAAAGGAGUUGCUCAAGGAAAAUAGAUGUUAAGUAUCGGCUUCAUACUGUUCCUGCAGCAUAUUCAAAAGCACUGGGAAAUACUCUUUUAAUAUAUAUAUUCAGUUUAUAACAUUUUCGCACACAGUAUCUUAUUAAAAACCAUAUUUAUAAACUACUGUCUAUUCUGGAGUCAGCAUAUACAUUUUAGUUAGCAAACAGUUUGUACAGCUCUGUCUGUGAACUAGAUUCACUAUGUAUGUUUACAUUCCUUGCCUUAGAAAUAAAAAAUACAUGUAACAAUUGCAUGUUUGAAUCUUUGGUAAGCAUGGAAUAACGAUUAUACAUGCAUUCAAUGUAUAAAUAUUCUAAUUUUAGUUUAAAACAUGUUUAAUUAUAAGGAAUACAAAUGUGACUGUUAUCUUUUAAGUGUGUUGAUAAAUUAUUUUUUUAUUCAUAAUCAAAUCAGUCAGUCAUGGAUUUAGUAUUUCAUUAUAAUUUUAACGUUGUUUAGUUUCUUAUGUUAUUACAUAAAAGUUUUGAUAAAAAUGUAUG
Molecule: long non-coding RNA, 1039 nt
Organism: Ruditapes philippinarum (Manila clam)
Lineage: Eukaryota; Metazoa; Mollusca; Bivalvia; Venerida; Veneridae
Exons: 3
Source: RefSeq, a predicted model, not a curated record